AGCGAACGCUGGCGGCAGGCUUAACACAUGCAAGUCGAGCGGGCACUUUCGGGUGUCAGCGGCGGACGGGUGCGUAACGCGUGGGAACGUGCCCUCUGGUUCGGAAUAACUCAGGGAAACUUGAGCUAAUACCGGAUACGCCCUUUUGGGGAAAGGCUUGCUGCCGGAGGAUCGGCCCGCGUCUGAUUAGCUAGUUGGUGAGGUAACGGCUCACCAAGGCGACGAUCAGUAGCUGGUCUGAGAGGAUGAUCAGCCACACUGGGACUGAGACACGGCCCAGACCCCGCAGGGAGGCAGGAGGGGGGAAUAUUGGAACAGGGGCGCAAGCCGUAUCCAGCCCUGCCGGGGGAGUGAAGAAGGCCUUGGGGUUGUAAAGCUCUUUUAUCCGGGAAGAAAAUGCAGGUACCGGAGGAAAAAGCCCCGGCUAACUUCG
RNAcentral lists this ribosomal RNA (433 nucleotides) under uncultured bacterium. RNAcentral's name for it is "partial 16S ribosomal RNA". It matches the Rfam family "Bacterial small subunit ribosomal RNA", at positions 30 to 505 of the family's 1533-position model. The record is from RNAcentral.